This is a long non-coding RNA of Xenopus laevis (African clawed frog), 888 nucleotides long. RefSeq lists it as uncharacterized. The record is from RefSeq and is a predicted model, not a curated record. NCBI's taxonomy places the organism in Eukaryota, Metazoa, Chordata, Amphibia, Anura, Pipidae. The transcript has 2 exons.
AUCACAUCUAAUACGAAAUUUAUCAAUUCGCUUCCGUGUGUUGAACGCGUGGCGACCAGUCUUUCAGUAUGUUUGCUAGAGAUAUCGUUUAAUAUAAAAUAGGAUUAAGUACGAAAAUAUUCGACUCCGCCGGGACUCGAACCCGGAACCUUUGAAUGUCUCCCUCCGCUAGAAGUCCAAUGCGCUAUCCAUUGCGCCACGGAGCCCACACCUGUUGGAUCUCAACUACAAAACUGACAUGACUAAUCCACAUAGAAAGGUACGCAACUCCUGUUAUAUAAACACUUGCAUGCUGUAUAUUUAGGCAGAGCAGCGGAGAAACUAAGUAGAAAUCUAAGCAGCAAAAUUCACGAUACUCGUCUCAUCGCGUAAAAUCAGUUGCGCAACUCACUCACGCAUGCGUCAUAACAUCAGAAAUCCAGUCUUCCGCCAUUCCAAAUCGAACAGCGCAGGUGCAGCUCCUGCUAGUUCCACGCAGUCCUUUGUUACGUCAGACGUUCACCCCACUCACGCAUACACCGUACUGGUCGCUGCUGCAGAAAAUUUAGUGGCGCGCGCACGCUCGUGAAGUUAUUACAUAUCAAAGAACAUUUUUGCAGAUAUCUACAGGGCCCCCCUGAAAACUGGUCACCAGGGUAGGCAGCUCUGAUGUGGGCAUGGAAGUGCUUUAACAGCAGUGUUCUGGAGAAUAUCACCUUAGACAUUGGAUGUGCCAGAAACAAGUCAUCUCACUUCCCUGAAGGUGGCCCUUGAAGAAACACCAUGAAAUUAUACCAUAUUUUUAUUCUUUAUGUAGUGCCAUCAUAUCAGUCCCCAUGCCAAUGGAGCUUACAAUCUAUGGUCUCAUUCAUGCACAUUAUUGUCAAAUAAAGUGUAAAAUAUUGUCAA